AUCUUGCUGUGAUGAUUUAUGAAAUAAAUUCACAUGUCAGACUUCAGAGAUUAUAUACUAUAAUCUAUGAGAAGAGUAUUUCAUGAUUCCUGAGCAGAAU
Molecule: small nucleolar RNA, 100 nt
Organism: Salvia miltiorrhiza (redroot sage)
Lineage: Eukaryota; Viridiplantae; Streptophyta; Magnoliopsida; Lamiales; Lamiaceae
Product: small nucleolar RNA R64/Z200 family
Exons: 1
Source: RefSeq, a predicted model, not a curated record